AGAGUUCGAUCCUGGCUCAGGAUGAACACUGGCGGCAUGCUUAACAUAUGCAAGUCAGACGGGAAGUGGUGUUUCCAGUGGCGGAUGGAUGAGUAAUGCAUAAAACCUAUCUUUGGGAGGGGAACAACAACUAGAAAUGGCUGCUAAUACCCUGUAGGUUGAGGAGCAAAAGGAGGAAUCUGUUGAGGAGGGGCUUGCAUAUGAUUAGCUAGUUGGUGGGGCAAUAACUUACCAAGGCGAUGAUCAGUAGCUGGUCCGAGAGGAUGAUCAGCGACACUGGGACUGAGACACAGCCUAGACUUCUACGGGAGGCAGCAGUGGGGAAGUUUAUGCAAGGAGUGAAAGCCUGACAGAGCAAUGCCACGUGGAGGUAGAAAGCCUAUGGGUCGUGAACUUCUUUUCCCAGAAAAGAAACAAUGAUGGUGUCCGGGGAAUAAGCAUCGGCUAACUCUGUGCCAAUAGUCACGGUAAUACAGAGGAUGCAAGCGUUAUCCAUAAUGAUUAGGCGUAAAGCGUCUGCAUGUGCCUUUUUAAGUCUGUCGUCAAAUCUCAGGGCUCAACCCUGGACAGGCGGUAGAGACUACCAAGCUGGAGUAUGGUAGGGGCAGAAGGAAUUUUCGAUGGAGCGAUGAAAUGCAUAGAGAUCGAAAAGAACACCAACGGUGAAAGCACUCUACUGGGUCAACACUGACACCGAGAGAUGAAAGUUAGGGGACCGAAUGGGAUUAGAUACCCCAAUAGUCCUAGCCGUAAAUGAGGGAUACUAGGCACUGUUCGUAUCGACCCGUGUAGUGCUAUAGCUAAUGCAUCGAGUAUCCCACCUGGGGAAUAUGUUCACAAGAAUGAAACUCAAAGGAAUUGACGGGGACCCAUACAAGCGAUGGAGCAUGUAGUUUAAUUUGAUACAAAGCGAAGAACCUUACCAGGGCUUGAUAUACUGCGAAUUCUCUUGAAAUAGAAGAUUACCUUCGGGAAUGCAGACACAGGUGGUGCAUGGUUGGAGUCAGCUCAUGCCAUAAGGUGUUGGGUUAAGUCCCAUAACGAGCAUAACCCUCGUGUUUAGUUGCCAUGGUUGAGUUUGGAACCCUGAGCAGACUGCUGGUGAUAAGUCAGAGGAAGGUGAGGAUGAUGUCAAGUUAUCAUGCCCCUUAUGCCCUGGGUGACACACAUGCUACAAUGGCCGAGACAAAGGGUCCCGUUCCUAUGAGGGUGAGCUAACUCCAAAAACCCAUCCUUAGUUUGGAUUGUAGGCGGCAACUCGCUUACAUGGAGCGAGAAUAGCUAGUAAUCACCGGUUAGCCAUACUGUGGUGAAUUCUUUCUUGGGCCUAGUACACACCGCCCGUCACACUAUGGGAGCUGGCCAUGCCCCAAGUCCUUACCUUAACCGCAAGGAGGGGGAUGCCAAAGGCAUGGCUAGCGACUGGAGUGAAGUCGUAACAAGGUAGCUAUAAUGGAAGGUGCGGUUG
Molecule: ribosomal RNA, 1468 nt
Filed under: Ziziphus jujuba (common jujube)
Lineage: Eukaryota; Viridiplantae; Streptophyta; Magnoliopsida; Rosales; Rhamnaceae
Description: bacterial SSU rRNA
Rfam family: Bacterial small subunit ribosomal RNA
Source: RNAcentral